RNAcentral lists this ribosomal RNA (433 nucleotides) under uncultured bacterium. Its description in RNAcentral is "partial 16S ribosomal RNA". It matches the Rfam family "Bacterial small subunit ribosomal RNA", at positions 29 to 507 of the family's 1533-position model. The record is from RNAcentral.
AACGAACGCUGGCGGCAUGCCUAACACAUGCAAGUCGAACGAGACCUUCGGGUCUAGUGGCGCACGGGUGCGUAACGCGUGGGAACCUGCCCUUAGGUUCGGAAUAACUCCCCGAAAGGGGUGCUAAUACCGGAUAAUGUCUUCGGACCAAAGAUUUAUCGCCUUUGGAUGGGCCCGCGUUGGAUUAGCUAGUUGGUAGGGUAAAAGCCUACCAAGGCGACGAUCCAUAGCUGGUCUGAGAGGAUGAUCAGCCACACUGGGACUGAGACACGGCCCAGACUCCUACGGGAGGCAGCAGUGGGGAAUAUUGGACAAGGGGCGAAAGCCUGAUCCAGCAAUGCCGCGUGAGUGAUGAAGGCCUUAGGGUUGUAAAGCUCUUUUACCCGGGAUGAUAAUGACAGUACCGGGAGAAUGAGCUCCGGCUAACUCCGUG